CUUGGUCACCGGGCCACACCUUAUUAUAACGGGAGGCUGGAAAGUGUAGUCUUUCUGUGCACCCCAGGAGGAAGAGGCGAACACAGCAGUUUCUUCCACGUAAGGGUCCCUCUUCCUCCUGGGAAAGAUGGAGCAGAACACAGCCUGGGCCGGCGGGAAGGCCCCUGGAGGAGGCCGCAUUGGCAGUGGGCCUGGAAGGAUGCUGACUCAGGAUGGAGCAGUGUAAUUUGGGAGGACCAAGGAGGAUAACUCACCCUAAAUCUCUCCAGCUGCCCAACCAGGACAGAUCUGGCGCUACGGUCACAACCUUCAGGAAGCCUGC
This 322-nucleotide long non-coding RNA is filed under the name Saimiri boliviensis boliviensis (Bolivian squirrel monkey). RNAcentral describes it as "lncRNA (ENSSBOG00000036567.1)". The record is from RNAcentral. Lineage: Eukaryota; Metazoa; Chordata; Mammalia; Primates; Cebidae.